Pan troglodytes (chimpanzee) is the source of this 3133-nucleotide RNA transcript. It is a transcript of the gene named deuterosome assembly protein 1, with no coding region annotated. The record is from RefSeq and is marked provisional. NCBI's taxonomy places the organism in Eukaryota, Metazoa, Chordata, Mammalia, Primates, Hominidae. The transcript is spliced from 15 exons.
AGUCCCGUUGAGUUUCGUUCCAGCUUCUCCUCUUAGAAGCUAUUCUCUUCUCCCUGAAGGGAGGCAACACUGUCCGUUCGCCUGACUGGCAGUGUUUUAAGGACCCAUCGCGCUUGACGGGAAAGUCAGGUACAAGCUGAUGCUGUUAUCACCACAGGAACCAGGGGCUGAGCGGUGAAAUCCAGCUCCUCCCAGCUGGAAGACACUAGGGUGAACGGAGAUAAAAGCAGUUCUCUUUACCCGAAGUUUCUUUCUUUUUCAUGCCACUUCAAAUUUGGAUUAAAAAUCAAGAAAUAUAAACCAGAUGUAGCAGUUUCUUGACAUGGAGAACCAAGCCCAUAAUACGAUGGGAACUUCUCCUUGUGAGGCUGAGCUUCAGGAAUUAAUGGAACAAAUUGACAUCAUGGUAAGCAACAAGAAAAUGGAUUGGGAAAGAAAGAUGCGGGCUUUGGAGACACGAUUAGAUCUUCGGGAUCAAGAAUUGGCAAAUGCACAAACUUGUUUGGAUCAGAAAGGUCAAGAGGUAGGGUUACUUCGACAGAAAUUGGACAGUCUGGAAAAAUGUAAUUUAGCAAUGACUCAGAAUUAUGAAGGACAACUACAAAGCCUAAAGGCUCAAUUUUCCAAACUAACAAAUAACUUUGAAAAACUGAGAUUACAUCAGAUGAAACAAAACAAAGUUCCACAAAAAGAAUUACGACACCUUAAAGAAGAAAUACCCUUUGAACUGAGCAAUUUGAACCAGAAAUUAGAGGAAUUUAGAGCAAAGUCAAGAGAAUGGGACAAGCAAGAGAUAUUAUAUCAGACUCAUCUGAUUUCUUUAGAUGCUCAACAAAAAUUAUUAUCUGAGAAGUGUAAUCAGUUUCAGAAACAGGCACAAAGUUACCAAACUCAACUAAAUGGUAAAAAACAGUGCUUAGAAGACAGCAGCUCUGAAAUUCCUCGUUUGAUAUGUGACCCAGAUCCCAAUUGUGAAAUCAAUGAAAGAGAUGAGUUCAUUAUUGAAAAACUGAAAUCAGCUGUAAAUGAGAUAGCACUAAGCAGAAAUAAAUUACAAGAUGAAAAUCAGAAGCUCUUGCAAGAACUGAAAAUGUACCAAAGACAGUGCCAGGCCAUGGAAGCAGGUCUCUCAGAGGUAAAAAGUGAGUUACAGUCACGUGAUGAUCUCUUGAGAAUUAUAGAAAUGGAACGAUUGCAAUUACACAGAGAAUUAUUAAAAAUAGGAGAGUGCCAAAAUGCUCAAGGAAAUAAAACAAGACUUGAAUCAUCUUAUUUGCCUUCUAUUAAAGAACCAGAAAGGAAAAUAAAAGAGCUGUUUUCAGUGAUGCAAGAUCAACCAAAUCAUGAAAAAGAAUUGAACAAGAUAAGAAACCAACUCCAACAGGUGGAAGAGUACCAUAACUCUGAGCAGGAAAGAAUGAGGAAUGAAAUCUCUGACCUAACAGAAGAGCUUCAUCAGAAGGAGAUCACUAUAGCAACUGUCACAAAGAAAGCUGCCCUUCUGGAAAAACAGUUAAAAAUGGAAUUAGAAAUAAAAGAAAAAAUGUUAGCAAAACAAAAGGUCUCAGAUAUGAAAUAUAAAGCUGUCAGAACUGAAAACACACAUCUAAAAGGAAUGAUGGGAGAUUUAGACCCCGGACGAUACAUGAGUAUGGACCUCACUAACAGGGAACAGUCAAGGCAUACAUCUAUUAAUAAACUGCAAUAUGAGAAUGAAAGGCUCCGAAAUGAUCUUGCAAAACUUCAUGUCAAUGGAAAAUCAACCUGGACUAAUCAAAACACCUAUGAAGAAACAGGAAGAUAUGCCUAUCAAAGCCAAAUAAAAGUGGAAAAAAAUGAAGAGAGACUUAGUCAUGACUGUGAGCCAAACAGAAGUACAACGCCUCCCUUGCCACCUUUGACAUUUCAAGCCAAAGAAAUGACAAGUCCUUUGGUUAGUGAUGAUGAUGUAUUCCCACUGAUCCAUGUAUUCUACCCAUUGGAAACACAGAACCAUAAAACAGCCAUCGGUUUAAAGUCUAUACCACAUCCUGAAGAAUGGCACCCCAACCUCACAGGAUAUAAUCUCCAAGCUGGUGCCUCAGCUUUGCCCUCAAGAGGCCGUCUCAAAGCUCUAUCAUGUUAGCGUCCUCUGGAUAGUGCUGUGUGUGGUUAGGACCAGUGGAUACCAUGGUCCUGCCCCCACUGCCAUACUCUUUUGCUAUAAAUCUCCCCCAGAUAUGUCCUUCCCAGCAUCUUUGGCUGCACAGCAUUUCCUUCUGGAAGAAGAGAAACGAGCAAAAGAACUUGAAAAACUUCUAAAUACACAUAUUGAUGAACUGCAAAGACACACAGAAUUUACUCUUAAUAAAUACUCCAAGCUAAAACAAAAUAGACACAUAUGAGCUUUUAAACUUUUUUAUUUGCUUCCCCCCCGCCCCUGCCAAGAAAAAAAGCUCUGGCAAAAUAUUUACAAAGCUGAUUAAUGAAACCAAGAAAUUCUGUUCUGUUUCCUUGAGUAAAUAAUUUCCGUAAGGCAGCUAGAAAAUAGUAAGUAUUUUGUUCUAUAAAGCUGUUUGCAUUUCUGCAUUAACAUGCUAAAUUGUCCUGCUGUAGAGUUACUAUAAAAUAAACAUGACUAUUCCAAAAGAGAUUUUUUUCCAGUCUAAGGAAUAUUUUGGAAUCAAAUAUGCAGUUUUUUUUCCCCACUUGAAUCAUGUAUACUGAAAACCCAUUUCCUCGGCAACUACACAAAAUAAGAGAAAGGGAAGUGCUAUAUUCCAGAUACAAAUGACUCAAAGGCAGCUCAGUUGUACUGGUUUUGAAAACUCAAGGAUUUUAUAAAUAAAAAUAUUUAAGUAUUUCCAGUUAUGUAAACACUCUAAAAUUCUAUAAUUUUUGGGGGAAAAAAAGCUAUAGCUUUAUUGUUUUUACAUUCACCUUUAUAAUGUCUGUCUGUUUCAACACAAUGAAGAUAUAUGGAAUGUGCAAUUUACAAACCUAAAAUAUAUGUGCCAAAAAUUAACGCUUUUUUGUUAGUACUAAUGACUUCAUGGACACGAACAAGAUAAAGGAAAUAUAAAGCAUUACUGUUGCUACAUUUUCCUUUGUAAUCACUUCUGUUUUUAAUACAAUAAAGGAAUGUAAAAUUCAA